CCCUUAGAUGUUCUGGGCUGCACGCGCGCUACACUGAUGCGCUCAACGAGUUUAUGACCUUGCCCGGAAGGGUUGGGUAAUCUUUUCAAAACGCAUCGUGAUGGGGAUAGAUUAUUGCAAUUAUUAAUCUUCAACGAGGAAUUCCUAGUAAGCGCGAGUCAUCAGCUCGUGCUGAUUACGUCCCUGCCCUUUGUACACACCGCCCGUCGCACCUACCGAUUGAAUGGUCCGGUGAAAUCUUUGGACCGUGACAUAGUUUUGCUUUCGGGCAAAACGUUGUCGUGGGAAGUUGAUUAAACCUUACCAUUUAGAGGAAGUAAAAGUCGUAACA
This 331-nucleotide ribosomal RNA is filed under the name uncultured eukaryote. RNAcentral describes it as "partial 18S ribosomal RNA". It matches the Rfam family "Eukaryotic small subunit ribosomal RNA", at positions 1470 to 1796 of the family's 1831-position model. The record is from RNAcentral.